GCGAGACCCGUGCCCACUGUUACCAGCAUGUCCUCCGGGACGAUGGGUACUCUGUGGGGACCGCCGGUGUUAAAUCGGAGGAAGGUGCGGGCUACGGUAGGUCAGUAUGCCCCGAAUCUCCCGGGCUACACGCGGGCUACAAUGGAUGGGACAAUGGGUCCCUACCCUGAAAAGGGUUGGUAAUCUCACAAACCCAUUCUUAGUUCGGAUCGAGGGCUGUAACUCGCCCUCGUGAAGCUGGAAUCCGUAGUAAUCGCGUUUCAAUAUAGCGCGGUGAAUAC
Molecule: ribosomal RNA, 281 nt
Filed under: uncultured bacterium
Lineage: Bacteria
Description: partial 16S rRNA
Rfam family: Archaeal small subunit ribosomal RNA
Source: RNAcentral